Molecule: ribosomal RNA, 507 nt
Filed under: uncultured bacterium
Lineage: Bacteria
Description: partial 16S ribosomal RNA
Rfam family: Bacterial small subunit ribosomal RNA
Source: RNAcentral
GACGAACGCUGGCGGCGUGCCUAAUACAUGCAAGUCGAACGCAUUUUCUUUCACCGUAGCUUGCUACACCGAAAGAAAAUGAGUGGCGAACGGGUGAGUAACACGUGGGUAACCUGCCCAUCAGCGGGGGAUAACACUUGGAAACAGGUGCUAAUACCGCAUAAUUCCAUUUACCGCAUGGUAAAUGGAUGAAAGGCGCUUUUGCGUCACUGAUGUAUGGACCCGCGGUGCAUUAGCUAGUUGGUGGGGUAACGGCCUACCAAGGCUGCGAAGCAUAGCCGACCUGAGAGGGUGAUCGGCCACACUGGGAAUGGGACACGGCCCAGAAUCCUACGGGAGGGAGCAGGAGGGAAACUUCGGCAAAGGGAGCAAGUCUGACCGAGCAAAGCCGCGGGAGUGAAGAAGGGUUUCGGAUCGUAAAAAUCUGUUGUUAGAGAAGAACAAGGAUGGGAGGGGAAAGUUCAUCCCUUGACGGUAUCUAACCAGAAAGCCACGGCUAACUACGUG